Molecule: long non-coding RNA, 699 nt
Organism: Polypterus senegalus (gray bichir)
Lineage: Eukaryota; Metazoa; Chordata; Cladistia; Polypteriformes; Polypteridae
Exons: 3
Source: RefSeq, a predicted model, not a curated record
UUUAGGAAAGACAGGGAGCUCAAGUCUGGUCUUCAUUGUAAUAAAGAGAUUCUGGAGCUUUGCUUUAAGUGAACACACAAGAAGGUUUGAAGUCAACUCAGACAACUCAGACCAGAAGCUGAACUGAGUUUAAGCGAAGAGAAGGAGCACUGUUAGAUGAAAAAUAAGCCAAGUUAAGUUACAUUGUGAAGCUAAUUUUCCCAUUGAACAUGAAAAGCCAAAGCGUGCUCUGACAGCACUUGGUACAAAGCAGGAGCCAAAAUGGGGUGGGAUGCCAGUGAAACACUGAAAACCUGAAGCACAAAGCCACAGAGUCCAUACAGGCAAAAAGACAAAAUGUGGUGGAGGUUUUUGUCACUGUCACCUGAUCGAAGUGCUGUGAAGCUGCCUGUGAUGUUGGAACAUAAGUGGAUACUCCAUCUGCAUCAAAUCUCUAAGGACAAAGCUUAAAAAACAAUGAAGAACAACUAAGUACAUUUAAUUUAUGUAGAAUCCCCAGUGCAGGCUGAGCAGUCUUUUCGCCUGGAAACCACUGCAGAGUUUGUUUUUUUGUCCAGCAUCUCACCCCUAGCUUUUUAAAAAUGUUUUCUGUCCUCUCUAGCCACCUGACCAUAACAUUGAACUAACCAAUCUUCUUCUUCUUCUUCUUUUGGCUGCUCCCAUAUCUUUCUGUCCUUUCUGUUACACCCAUAACCUGCA